RNAcentral lists this long non-coding RNA (386 nucleotides) under Prunus persica (peach). RNAcentral describes it as "long non-coding RNA (PPER_LNC008053)". The record is from RNAcentral. Lineage: Eukaryota; Viridiplantae; Streptophyta; Magnoliopsida; Rosales; Rosaceae.
GAAAACUAGGUUUCGAAGUGAACAGGAAUUUUGAGUUUGAAAUUCUUUGAAAAGGGCUCGAAACCGAAGAAGAAGAAGACGAUGCGACACCUGAUGAUGACUAGCUAGUAACUAGCUAGUAACUGGCCACUUUCCCAUGAAGUCUAGUUUGUAGUAGGCAGACAUGGCAGACGUGGGCUAAUGGAAGAAAACUGGCGCGCAAAUUAAUGGCCAAGGCAUUAAGUCUAGAACCGUUCCAAAACGAUUCAGACUUAAGGGGGCAUUGUUUAGGCAUAAUUUGACAUGCCCAGCUCAACGCGGAAAAAGCCCAGAAUAAAGACACAGGGGCCAAGCAGUCUGGGCUUCGCAAAAUAAACAAGAAAACAGAGCCCAAAAUCCAACAAAGC